Molecule: ribosomal RNA, 433 nt
Filed under: uncultured bacterium
Lineage: Bacteria
Description: partial 16S ribosomal RNA
Rfam family: Bacterial small subunit ribosomal RNA
Source: RNAcentral
AGCGAACGCUGGCGGCAUGCCUAACACAUGCAAGUCGAACGAACUCUUCGGGUUUAGUGGCGCACGGGUGCGUAACCCGUGGGAACGUGCCUUUUGGUUCGGAAUAACUCCGCGAAACUUGUGCUAAUACCGACUGUUCCCUUCGGUGCAAAGAUUUAUCGCCCUUAGAUCGGCCCGCGUCUGAUUAGCUAGUUGGUGGGGUAACGGCUAACCAAGGCGACGAUCAGUAGCUGGUCUGAGAGGAUGACCAGCCACACUGGGACUGAGACACGGCCCAGACUCCUACGGGAGGCAGCAGUGGGGAAUCUUGCGCAAUGGGCGAAAGCCUGACGCAGCAAUGCCGCGUGAAUGAUGAAGGUCUUAGGAUUGUAAAGUUCUUUGACCGGGGACGAUAAUGACGGUACCCGGAGAAGAAGCCCCGGCUAACUUCGUG